GACCAACGCUGGCGGCGCGCUCAACACAUGCAAGUCGAACGGACAGGCCCUGCUUUUGUGGGGUGCUCGAGUGGCGAACGGGUGAGUAACACGCGAGUAACCUGCCCUUGACUUUGGGAUAACUUCAGGAAACUGGGGCUAAUAACGGAUAGGAGCUCCUGCUGCAUGGUGGGGGUUGGAAAGUUUCGGCGGUUGGGGAUGGACUCGCGGCUUAUCAGCUUGUUGGUGGGGUAGUGGCUUACCAAGGCUUUGACGGGUAGCCGGCCUGAGAGGGUGACCGUCCACAUUGGGACUGAGAUACGGCCCAGACUCCUACGGGAGGCAGCAGUGGGGAAUAUUGCACAAUGGGCGGAAGCCUGAUGCAGCAACGCCGCGUGCGGGAUGACGGCCUUCGGGUUGUAGACCGCUUUCGCCUGUGACGAAGCGUGAGUGACGGUAAUGUGUAAAGAAGCACCGGCUAACUACGUG
This 468-nucleotide ribosomal RNA is filed under the name uncultured bacterium. RNAcentral describes it as "partial 16S ribosomal RNA". It matches the Rfam family "Bacterial small subunit ribosomal RNA", at positions 28 to 507 of the family's 1533-position model. The record is from RNAcentral.